UCCUGCAAGGUUCAGAGGUGGGAAUAUUUUAGCCCAGAGUUAGAUCUCAGGACAGCAGAGUUUGAAGGACUAACUCCUGGAUUAAUUCUGCCUCAUUCAGCCUACAAUUUAUUCUGAGAGGGGUCCUCCAUUGGAAUAUUUCAAGUCAGGUUCCUGCUAAGAAAAAGCUGAUCAGUGUCAUGGUACCAGGAUGGCAGACUCCAAUGUCAAGCCUGCCCCCAGAAUGUGCAUCAAUAUUCCUUGUUGCUGGAGCAAGAACUAUCAGACAGAAGAGGAAAUCUGGAUGCUCAGCCUGAAUGCGGACUGUGAAGAUUAGAAAAAAAAAAUCAAGUAAAUGAGUGACUGCAGGGGGCUUGGUUGCCUGCUGGAGUAAACCAUGACAGUGCUGCAAUAUGUUUGAGAGGUCUGUGUGGGAUUAGUGCAGUAGUUGGUAUCAGCAUCAGUACAGCACCAUCAAGAAAACAAGAAGAUAAGAAUGGUAAAAAUAAAGGUUUUCUGAAGAUGUUAAGUCAGAAGCAAGAAUUUUUGCCCUGUUUUCGCAGUCUGUAGCACUGUCUUCUUUAGUGCACCUGCCAUCUGUAUCAUGGUAAAACUUCAAUAAAUUUAAAUUGCUGUAUUUUUUCCAUGUA
This is a long non-coding RNA of Onychostruthus taczanowskii (white-rumped snowfinch), 629 nucleotides long. RefSeq lists it as uncharacterized. The record is from RefSeq and is a predicted model, not a curated record. The transcript is spliced from 5 exons. NCBI's taxonomy places the organism in Eukaryota, Metazoa, Chordata, Aves, Passeriformes, Passeridae.